This 846-nucleotide long non-coding RNA is filed under the name Mytilus galloprovincialis (Mediterranean mussel). The record is from RNAcentral. Lineage: Eukaryota; Metazoa; Mollusca; Bivalvia; Mytilida; Mytilidae.
AUGCAAUUCACCGCCAGUAUCAUUUUUAUUACACAGAACACAAAGUUGAUUGAUUGAUUGUUGGUUGCUUAACGUCCAGUGGCAAAUAUUUCAUGCAUAUUCAGGACGAGAACAAGUUAACAAUAAAUACAAUAAGUAGGUUGUUAUAAUAGAGGACGAUGGUCGGGGAAAUUUGGACUGCCACUGGAAAAUGAGGGUGUAUUGGAUAGAGACCGAAAUUUUGCCCUGCAACAGGCCACCUACGGACCCCUCGAAGAGUUGUUGCAAGGGUUCUUAACGUGCAAAGAGCGUGGCACUCUCUUUACACGAGACAUCGGAUUUAACGUCCCCCUUCUGACCGGACGUGACUGCGAACUUGAUACGUCCCGCACAGCCAAACGGACGCCCCACUUCGGAAAGCGUUUUACUGCCGGUCGGGAGAAGACCAAGUGACCAUAUUUCUAUACCCUAGUCACCCUUGGGGGCUAGGACACAAAGUCUUUUGUUUGUAACUAUAUUAUUCUAUCUAGCCAGUUCAAUAGGGAGCUUGUUAUUUGCGGUUCUAAAUCUAUAAAAAUCAAUGCUAAGAAUUCCAAUAAAAGUUUGUAAUUAAGUGUUCUUUGUGAGUUUUCUAGUAAAGAAUGCCGGACUUGUACAAACUGAUCCUUAAGUUUGAAAUUGAUGAAUGAAACUUACAUUGAUAAACGAUUGCGUUUCUCACACAUGCAUGACAUAUACAUGUAUUUACAUAUAGGCUUGCAACAUAAUGAGAUUCAGGCAAAACAUUAAAACAAUGCCGGAAUAGUGUCAUUUCGGAUCUUGUGCUUGUAAUUACUAUCUAAAUAUGACUCAUUGCUUUUCCCAAUA